CAAAAGACUCUUUUAAGAGUCACUUAUGAUGAAACAGAAGUGUGCAU
Molecule: non-coding RNA, 47 nt
Organism: Homo sapiens (human)
Lineage: Eukaryota; Metazoa; Chordata; Mammalia; Primates; Hominidae
Source: Rfam